This 379-nucleotide long non-coding RNA is filed under the name Brachypodium distachyon (stiff brome). RNAcentral describes it as "long non-coding RNA (BDIS_LNC003663)". Lineage: Eukaryota; Viridiplantae; Streptophyta; Magnoliopsida; Poales; Poaceae. The record is from RNAcentral.
CUAAUUAUUCUACAUUCUGAUUAUGUAGUUGUUUCUUUGCCCUGAAGUGGCACUCCCGCUAUUAUAAGCAUCUUUGGUAUAAAUAAAUGAUGCAUAAGAAAGCAUCAUCAAAUUAGAGAGCUGGAAAGUUGAAAAAAGAAAGGGCGGAAUGGUGUGCCUUCCCUUUUUUUCUUUUGUCUCGACAGGAGAUAACCCGACAAAACCUGAUGAAUAAGAUGAAGUGUUUAGCAUAACAGGGCUGGGAUAUCCUUAUAUAUCAAGCAGAAGAAAAAAGUGAUUGAAUCUUUACCUGAAACCAACUAACUUCACGUAAUAACAUGAAACACUUGAACUUACAGGAAGAAACAAUUCAGCCACACUGGAUCUCCCUCCACUCCGG